RNAcentral lists this long non-coding RNA (1144 nucleotides) under Vulpes vulpes (red fox). RNAcentral describes it as "lncRNA (ENSVVUG00000018208.1)". The record is from RNAcentral. Lineage: Eukaryota; Metazoa; Chordata; Mammalia; Carnivora; Canidae.
CCCACCUCCUGCUGUCCCGAACUGCUUCUGCUGGGCAGCUUAGGACAUUGUUCAAAGGUUUAUCUCCUAGGCCCAGGGUCUCAAUCCUGGUUCUGUCAGGUGACCCCAGGCUGGCGUCUUACCUACUCAGCUUCUGCUCCCCAAUCUCGAAUGAAUGAAUGAAUGAAUGAAUGAAUGAAUGAAUGCUUUCCCUUGGUUGGGAAAGCCCUGCAGGCUAGAAGACCAGAACUAGGACCAGGAGCAGGAGCAGGACCAGGAGCAGAAGCAGGAGCAGGAGCAGGACCAGGACCAGGAGCAGGAGCAGGAGCAGGAGCAGGAUCAGGAUCAGGAGCAGGAGCAGGAGCAGGAGCAGGAGCAGGAACAGGAAUAGGAGCAGGAACAGGAACAGGAGCAGGAGCAGGAGCAGGAACAGGACCAGGACCAGAAGCAGAAGCAGGAGCAGGAGCAGGACCAGGACCAGGAGCAGGAGCAGGAACAGGAAUAGGAGCAGGAACAGGAACAGGAGCAGGAGCAGGAGCAGGAACAGGACCAGGACCAGAAGCAGAAGCAGGAACAGGACCAGGACCAGGGCCAAGAGCAGAAGCAGGAACAGGACCAGGAGCAGAAGCAGGAACAGGACCAGGAGCAGAAGCAGGAACAGGACCAGGAGCAGGAGGAGCAGGACCAGGAGCAGGAGCAGGAACAGGAGCAGAACCAGGAGCAGAAGCAGGAGCAGGAGCAGGAGCAGAAGCAGGACCAGGACCAGGACCAGGACCAGGAGCAGGAGCAGGAGCAGGAACAGGAGCAGAAGCAGGACCAGGACCAGGGCCAGGAGCAGGAGCAGGAGCAGGAACAGGAUCAGGAUCAGGAGCAGGACCAGGACCAGAAGCAGGAGCAGGAGCAGGAGCAGGAGCAGGAGCAGGAACAGGAGCAGGAGCAGGAGCAGGACCAGGACCAGGGCCAGGAGCAGAAGCAGGAACAGGACCAGGAGCAGAAGCAGGAACAGGACCAGGAGCGGUAGCAAGAACAGUAACAGGAGCAGGAACAGGAGCAGGAGCAGGAGCAGGAGCAGGGAGAGAUUAUGGGGAGCAGGGGGUGCUGCAGGGCCAGGCUGCAGGGCCAGGCUGCAGGCCCCCGCAGCACAGACCUGACUCCAGGAGAGAGC